GUGAGGAAUAUUGGGCAAUGUCCGAAAGGGUGACCCAGCAACGCCGCGUGGAGGAUGAAGGUCGUAAGAUUGUAAACUCCUGUUAGAGGGGAAGAAUAACUAAGUUUGGAGCUUAGUAUGACUGUACCCUCAGAGAAAGCCCCGGCUAACUACGUGCCAGCAGCCGCAGUAAUACGUAGGGGGCAAGCGUUGUCCGGAUUUACUGGGUGUAAAGGGCGCGCAGGCGGAAUGGAAAGUCAGUGGUGAAAUCCUACAGCUUAACUGUAGAACUGCCUUUGAUACUUUCAUUCUUGAGUUCGGGAGAGAGAGACGGAAUUCCAGGUGUAGUGGUGAAAUACGUAGAUAUCUGGAAGAACACCAGUUGCGAAGGCGGUCUCUUGGUCCGAUACUGACGCUGAGGCGCGAAAGCGUGGGGAGCAAACA
This 423-nucleotide ribosomal RNA is filed under the name uncultured bacterium. RNAcentral describes it as "bacterial SSU rRNA". It matches the Rfam family "Bacterial small subunit ribosomal RNA", at positions 354 to 774 of the family's 1533-position model. The record is from RNAcentral.